GUCACUGACGAGUUUGAUCAUGGCUCAGGAUGAACGCUGGCGGCGUGCCUAAUACAUGCAAGUCGAACGGGAAACUUUUUUCGAAAAGUUGAGAGUGGCGCACGGGUGAGUAACACGUAGCUAAUCUGCCCUCAAGAGCGGGAUAACGCGCCGAAAGGUGUGCUAAUACCGCAUAAGCUCACGGACUGUAGAGGUCUAUGAGAAAAGCUCAGGCGCUUGAGGAGGAGGCUGCGGCCCAUCAGCUAGUUGGUGAGGUAAUGGCUUACCAAGGCGACGACGGGUAGGGGACCUGAGAGGGUGACCCCCCACACUGGGACUGAGACACGGCCCAGACUCCUACGGGAGGCAGCAGUAAGGAAUAUUGCUCAAUGGGCGCAAGCCUGAAGCAGCGACGCCGCGUGGGUGAUGAAGGUUUUCGGAUCGUAAAGCCCUUUUCUGCGUGACGAGGAAGGACGGUAGCGCAGGAAUAAGUCUCGGCUAACUACGUG
RNAcentral lists this ribosomal RNA (488 nucleotides) under uncultured bacterium. RNAcentral describes it as "bacterial SSU rRNA". It matches the Rfam family "Bacterial small subunit ribosomal RNA", at positions 1 to 507 of the family's 1533-position model. The record is from RNAcentral.